AAUGGCGCUAGGUUGACGCAGAGGAGAAGAAUUGUUGAAUAAAGUCGUUAUUUUUGUUUAUCUACGCACAAAUAGUAUUCUUGUAGCUUCGUAAAAUUACCGUUAAACCACUGGUGUCCAGUGGACUAUUUUGUCGAUGUUUUUGGUAACGUUACAUUUCUUUAGUAGGACCCUUGCUGUCUAUGGGGGGCGGAGUCAGAGAGCGCUCGGAUUUUGUCGAAAACAUCUUAAUUUGUGUUCCGAAGAUGAACGAAGGUCUUACUGUUUUGGAACAGGAUCAGGUACUGCCCUACAGAAGAUACCUGCAUGUUUCCCAGAAGACAAAGUAAGUUAAAUUUACCCUAAUCUUCAAAUUCUAGUUUUCACUUCCCAGCUCUUAAUACAUGCUCUUUAUGUUUCCUUCUGGAGCAUCAGUGAGUGUUUGAACCUUCUGUAAUAGUUGCAUAUGAGUCCCUCAGUUGUCCUCAGUGUGAAAAGAUGGAUCUCAAAAUCAUACAGUCAUUGUUGGAAAGGGUUCAAAUACACAAUAAUGCUGAAAAAACAAAGAAUUUGUGGGACUGUUCAGGACCAUCACGGGACUCGUGAACAACUAUCACUAAACAAAAAACACAGCUGUGGAUUAUUCAGCAAAGCUUUGGGUCUUCCAAGACAGCACCAGCCUGGCUUUAAAACACUCCAGCCCUUAUAAUAAAGGGCCUUCCAUCCCAGAUACCCCAG
Long non-coding RNA from Labeo rohita (rohu), 717 nucleotides. RefSeq lists it as uncharacterized. NCBI's taxonomy places the organism in Eukaryota, Metazoa, Chordata, Actinopteri, Cypriniformes, Cyprinidae. The record is from RefSeq and is a predicted model, not a curated record. The transcript is spliced from 3 exons.